CCUACGGGGGGCAGCAGUGGGGAAUAUUGCACAAUGGGGGAAACACUGAUGCAGCGACGCCGCGUGAGUGAAGAAGUAUUUCGGUAUGUAAAGCUCUGUCAGCAGGGAAGAAAAUGACGGUACCUGACCAAGAAGCCGCGGCUAACUACGUGCCAGCAGCCGCAGUAAUACGUAGGGGGCAAGCGUUAUCCGGAUUUACUGGGUGUAAAGGGAGCGUAGACGGCAGGGCAAGUCUGCAGUGAAAGGCGGGGGCUCAACCCCCGGACUGCUCUGGAAACUGCCAGGCUGGAGUGCAGGAGAGGUAAGUGGAAUUCCUGGUGUAGCGGUGAAAUGCGUAGAUAUUAGGAGGAACACCAGUGGCGAAGGCGGCUUACUGGACUGUAACUGACGUUGAGGCUCGAAAGCGUGGGGAGCAAACAGGAUUAGAUACCCUGGUAGUC
This 440-nucleotide ribosomal RNA is filed under the name uncultured bacterium. RNAcentral describes it as "partial 16S ribosomal RNA". It matches the Rfam family "Bacterial small subunit ribosomal RNA", at positions 338 to 795 of the family's 1533-position model. The record is from RNAcentral.